UCCCCGCACAUAGCGCUGGAGCCCGAAA
Molecule: small RNA, 28 nt
Filed under: Bombyx mori (domestic silkworm)
Lineage: Eukaryota; Metazoa; Arthropoda; Insecta; Lepidoptera; Bombycidae
Description: ovarian small RNA-27234
Source: RNAcentral